Molecule: transfer RNA, 85 nt
Filed under: Clostridium paridis
Lineage: Bacteria; Bacillati; Bacillota; Clostridia; Eubacteriales; Clostridiaceae
Also listed under: 1 other name
Description: tRNA-Leu
Rfam family: tRNA
About the family: Transfer RNA (tRNA) molecules are approximately 80 nucleotides in length.
Source: RNAcentral
GCUGAUGUGGCGGAAUGGCAGACGCAGUGGACUCAAAAUCCACCGACCACAAAUCGUGAGGGUUCGAGUCCCUCCAUCAGCACCA